UAUCAAUAAGCGGAGCACAAGGGUCCCUGCAUAUCACUAAGCUGGAACAUGAGGGUCCGCUGCAUUGCGACUUUGGCUCUCGUCUAUGUUCCUUGAAACAGGUACGUCCCAGAGGGUGAGAAUCCCGUGCGAUGAGAUGCCCAAUUCCAUGUAAAGUUCCUUCGACGAGUCGAGUUGUUUGGGAAUGCAGCUCUAAGUGGGUGGUAAAUUCCAUCUAAAGCUAAAUAUUGGCGAGAGACCGAUAGCGAACAAGUACUGUGAAGGAAAGAUGAAAAGAACUUUGGAAAAGAGAGUGAAAAAGUACGUGAAAUUGUUGAAAGGGAAGGGCUUGAGGUCAGACUUGGUUUUACCAGGCCAGCAUCAGUUUGGGUGGCAGGAUAAGUGCGUAGGAAAGUGGCUCCACCUCGGUGGAGUGUUAUAGCCUGCGUCGAUACUGCCUGCCUAGACUGAGGACUGCGGUCUUUGACUAGGAUGCUGGCAUAAUGACCUUAAGCC
RNAcentral lists this ribosomal RNA (495 nucleotides) under Yamadazyma scolyti. Its description in RNAcentral is "eukaryotic LSU rRNA". It matches the Rfam family "Eukaryotic large subunit ribosomal RNA", at positions 41 to 646 of the family's 3401-position model. The record is from RNAcentral. Lineage: Eukaryota; Fungi; Ascomycota; Pichiomycetes; Serinales; Debaryomycetaceae.